Molecule: long non-coding RNA, 447 nt
Organism: Cydia strobilella
Lineage: Eukaryota; Metazoa; Arthropoda; Insecta; Lepidoptera; Tortricidae
Exons: 2
Source: RefSeq, a predicted model, not a curated record
AAAAACCGGCCAAGUGCGAGUCGGACUCGCCCGUAAAUUGCGGUUUACGAUUUAUGACGUAUUAAAAAAAAACUACUUACUAGAUCUCGUUCAAACCAAUUUUCGGUGGAAGUUUGCAUGGUAAUGUACAUCAUAUAUUUUUUCAGUUUUAUCAUUCUCUUAUUUUAGAACUUACAGGGGGGGGGGGGCACACAUUUUACCACUUUGGAAGUGUCUCUCGCGCAAACUAUUUAGUUUAGAAAAAAAUUAUAUUACAAACCUCAAUAUCAUUUUUGAAGACCUAUCUAUAGAUACCCCACACGUAUGGGUUUGAUGAAAAAAAAAAUUUGUCUCAGUUCUAAGUAUGGGGAGCACCCAAAAUUUAUUGGUUUUUUUUCUAUUUGUGUGUGAAAAUCUUAAUGCGGUUUACAGAAUACAUCUACUUACCAAGUUUCAACAGUAUAGUUC